RNA transcript from Ailuropoda melanoleuca (giant panda), 2285 nucleotides. It is a transcript of the gene named KH RNA binding domain containing, signal transduction associated 2, with no coding region annotated. Lineage: Eukaryota; Metazoa; Chordata; Mammalia; Carnivora; Ursidae. The transcript is spliced from 15 exons. The record is from RefSeq and is a predicted model, not a curated record.
UGGUGUGAGCCGGGGCUCGGCGCGAGAGAGGGACGACGGAAGGGACCGGCAGGUGUGGGCGCGGGGCCGCGCAGUCCGACGGCGGGAGUCGCAGCCGCUCGGUGCAUGGGCCAGUGAGGACGCGCGGAGAUCCCCUCGCCGCGGCGGAGGCGGAGCAGCGCGGGAGUAAGGCGCUGCCCAGAGACCCUGCGUCCGAGCGAGCGGAACCUUGCGCUUCGCCCGGGGACGGUCCGAAGUCCGCGCUAUGGAAGAGGAGAAAUAUUUGCCUGAGCUGAUGGCAGAGAAAGACAGCCUGGAUCCAUCUUUUGUGCAUGCAUCGCGCCUUUUGGCGGAAGAAAUUGAAAAAUUUCAAGGUUCUGAGGGAAAAAAGGAAGAUGAAGAAAAGAAAUAUCUUGAUGUCAUCAGCAACAAAAACAUAAAGCUCUCAGAAAGGGUAUUGAUUCCUGUCAAGCAAUAUCCAAAGUUCAAUUUUGUGGGGAAAUUGCUUGGACCAAGAGGAAACUCCUUGAAGAGACUACAGGAAGAAACAGGUGCUAAAAUGUCUAUCCUGGGCAAAGGAUCAAUGAGAGAUAAAGCAAAGGAAGAAGAAUUAAGGAAGAGUGGGGAAGCCAAAUAUGCCCACUUGAGUGAUGAACUUCAUGUAUUAAUUGAAGUGUUUGCUCCACCUGGGGAAGCUUAUUCACGAAUGAGUCAUGCUUUGGAAGAGAUUAAAAAAUUCCUUGUUCCCGACUACAAUGAUGAAAUUCGUCAGGAACAACUACGUGAAUUAUCUUACUUAAAUGGCUCAGAGGACUCUGGUCGUGGCAGAGGUAUUAGAGGCAGAGGGAUCAGAAUAGCUCCCACAACCCCUUCAAGGGGCCGUGGGGGUGCCAUUCCUCCUCCCCCACCACCGGGCCGAGGUGUACUCACCCCUCGAGGGACUACUGUGACUCGUGGAGCUCUUCCAGUGCCCCCUGUAGCAAGAGGUGUCCCUACCCCACGAGCCCGGGGGGCACCGACCGUGCCAGGAUACAGGGCACCCCCUCCUCCAGCCCACGAAGCUUAUGAAGAAUAUGGGUAUGAUGAUGGCUACGGGGGUGAAUAUGAUGACCAGACCUAUGAGACUUACGAUAACAGCUAUGCCACCCAAACGCAAAGUGUCCCUGAGUACUAUGACUACGGUCAUGGAGUAAGUGAGGAUGCCUAUGACAGCUACGGCAAUAAAAGGAAAAAGAGAGUGGGGAUCAGGAUCUUCUUUCAGAUGAAAGGAGUGAUGGAAAAUGCACCAGAAGAAUGGGCCACAACCCGCUCCAGCCUGAAGGCACCACCACCAAGGUCAGCCAGAGGGGGAUACAGGGAGCACCCCUAUGGUAGAUAUUGAAGGUCCUUCUCACCUGUGACCUCACCUCAAAGACAAUUCAUAGCCUGUGGUCUCCACAUAAACAGCAACAAGACAAGUAUCCACAAGCAAAGAUCACAUAAGUGAAAAGCAGAUGUGGUGGGCUAAGAAGGACCGAGGCCAGAUAAGAAGAAAAUUUGGAUUUGAACCAAUGUGAUUCUGAAGUGACUACGAAUAACAACCACUGAUUAAAAUAUAUGUGGAACAUAGCAAUAUGUUAAUUACGCAGCUUUAAAAAGAAGAGGUUAAUCUGCGCUGGGAUUUUAAAAGACAGCUUCCCAGAAGACGUGAGAUUUGGAUGAAAAGUCAGAUAUGGACAGAAGCUAGAUGCUCCACUUAGAGGAAUACAAACAAAUUGAAGCUGAUUUAACCAACACACACUACCCAGCAGCUGAGAAACCUUCGUGAAGCAAGGGCUGUUUGUGGCAUAGUAUACAACAAUAACAACAACUCAACAAAUCUACCACAGGAGAAAUAGAAGAUAACUAUUAAAGAUAGGUAUACUAGCCCUGAAAACCUCAGCCUCAUUUUUCGUCUACAAUGAAAAUAAAGUGAAGUUUGUAAUAUGUCUCUUAUCAACAAUAAAUACAUACUGACCCAUAUGUUCUCUCUUUACUAGCAUAAUGCCAAUUGAUUUUCAUCAUUAAGAGAUCCUCAAGUGAUAGAUGAAUUUUCAAAGCCUUCAAAGAAAUUAUAUAUUGAACUUAAUGUAGCUUGAUUGGUACUUUCCUCGAAAGACAAUCUUAUUCGCUGCAGAAGACAUUGGAGCCUUCAAUAGUUGGAGCUGGAGGCCUUCACCAGAAAGCAGUCUUUCACCUAUGUUUUGACUCUACCUUUUACUCUUGAAAUCAACUUUGGUACAAGUAUGAUCUUCGGCUAUCAGACUCUAUCGUACAUCUGUAAAAUU